UAUGCAUGGGUGUUGCAAUGAUUUAAGAUAUGACUCAUGAUUUCUGUAUUCCACUGCUUAAAACAUUUAUUUCAUAAAUUCAGACUGAAAAAAUUACAAGUCGGUACUAAAUUUUACUUGGUUUUAGCCUCAUUCCGUCCCCUGUCUCGGCAACCACCUGAGUAGGAAGGAGAGAUAUUUUCUCCAAAUUUCCUUCACCCUUCUGUCUUUCAUUUGGCGUAUAAUCCAAACUCUUCGUUAGAAACACAAAAUCCCUAUCACAAACAAUUCUUUGGAAUUAAAGAAACUAACUGGUAACACCGGGUGUGAUAAUGGAUAUUUUUGGGAAUUUGGCGAACCUACAGACGAGAAGGCAGCUCCAGAGCCUUAUGACGCUUCGCAGGUACAAUUCGAUCGUAGAGGUAGCACAAGAACCUAUCUACGCAUUUCUCUUGAAAUUUUGGCCGAUUUCUAUGGUGCUACUACAGUGGUGAAUGAGGGUUGUUCGCAAUGUAUCAUGCUACUUGAUUGUCGUAAUAUAAGGGAGUGGGAUCAUACUAUGGAUCACUAAGUUCAAGUAGAAGCCAAUGUAACCAUAGAACCUCACUAACAUUUGAAGUCAUGGACUUGUAUUCUACUAAAGCUGAGGAUCGAGAACCACUAAUUGCUUCUUUGUUCGCCAAGAUAUCGGAGCUCCUCUAAGGAGCAUAAUAUAGCUUGUUUUGUGACUGUCUUGUGAAGUUGCAUCCUAGUAAAUCAGUAUUACAAAAUGCAACCACAUUAAGACAUCCUCGUGUCGGAAGGAAAAUAGUUUUGACCUGUGAACUUUUGGUACCACGGGAUGUUUGUUGGAGAAUAUAAAGCGACUUGCACAAACAAUAAACUUUUAAGUCUCCAUCACUAGCAAAAUCUUGAGGAAUUUUCAUAUGUACCUCCUUAUCCAAGUCCCCCGUGUGUAAAAAUGUGUGUAGAGUUUUCUUCACUGUAACAACCAUAAAACUUUGCAUCGUUGCUAAUUUUUCAAUUAGAUCGAAGGUUUCAUUGAA
This is a non-coding RNA of Lactuca sativa (garden lettuce), 1025 nucleotides long. The record is from RefSeq and is a predicted model, not a curated record. NCBI's taxonomy places the organism in Eukaryota, Viridiplantae, Streptophyta, Magnoliopsida, Asterales, Asteraceae.